AGAUUCUUUGAACUUGGAGUCAAACCUGAGGCUCUGACCCCUUGUAGCCGCUGGCCCUCCCUUGACCCCUUUGGAUGAGUGAGGGGGCUCAGCUGGACCCUAUGACCUUGCUUCACGUUGGAGCAUGGAGUUUUCCAAGGAUCUAUCGCUAGAGUGCCGUCUGAACAGCCAUUGCUGCUGAUGCCUAAAACCUCUUCUAAGAAACACUCCAAUUAUUCAGAUAAUUGCUUGUGCCUAAGACUGUAUAACCUAAGAGUGGAGUGCAGGCUUGAUAAAGAGUUGGAAGCCCUCUGCAAAACUGCUACAGGUGUUCUGCGUUCCGACGUCCUCCAUCACCCUGGACAGGGGUUAUUCUUCCAGCCCAGUCUCUCCCAUUUCCUCUUUUCUCCCUCCAUCUCCUCCCAUUUGCUUGGCCAGAGCAGAGGCUCGGCUGGUCUAGUUCAGGUAGGACGGCCAGCAUCCAGUCACCGCCAUAUUCAACAAGGACUUGAGAGCUUCUCGAGAGAGAAAUGCAGGUCAAACCAGCCAGGGCUUUUAAAAGGGGGCUUUGUGUGACCCUGGACACCUGCAACUGGGAGCCAACACUGCCACGUGCUCUCUCUUUUCUCACGCCUCAACUUCCUCUGAAUACUGAUCUAAAUCUCUUUGCUAAGCUUCCUCUCUGUGGCAGGUAAUGUGCAUGAUGGCAGCUUUUGCUUAUUGCACCUCAUGACUUCACUGCCAGAAAGGGACAGAGAGAGGCCUUCGUGGCCUUCACUGGGUCCAGGUGACCAUCACUGGCUCAAUCACUGCGGCCCAGGAAGAGCUGAACUGAUGGCUGCUCACAUCUGGACUCUGAUUUGUGCUAGGGAGGGGGCACUCUCCAGAAGAAGGGGCCUCUGUCCUGGAAGACAUACAAUGGAGCCCACCACCGUGGUGCUGAGAGCUAUUCCCAAGUCCUAGGGCGCAGUGGGCCCUCCCCCUUCGCCUCUGCGUCCCCUGCCUGGCAGUGGGGGACAUGGCCUGGGGGAGGGGUCACAUCUGUCCACAGAGCCCAUUGUUUUUUGGCUUGAAAAUCCAUAGGAAAAUGGGGGUUUUUCUCAGCUCUUUUUGGAGUGGGGGCAGCAGCUGUGUGAUUUUCUGAGCGGAAUGCCUUGGAGGAUCUAAGCAGUGAGUGAAGGAAGAACAAAAGAACCAUUCUCAGAAGCACGGCAAAAAUGAAACCAAAUAAAAACCCCAUAAAAAUCCCUACCGGGGCAGAGGAAAUACCAAGCCAGUGCUUUUGGACUGCAGAUUCUGUAAUAAAGGAAAGAUUCACGGAUACGCUGUGCAACUUGCUUACGUUUGGGCUGGAAGGAGAAUGUGCAGGAAAAUGAUAUAAAAGUCAUCCAAGAAAGGGAGGCAUCGCUGUGUGCAUUUGUGUUGUGUGUUGUUGCAAUUCAGGAGUGGACUAAGGACUGGGGUUCAUGGGGAGCCUGAAAGAGACACUGGACAGGAACUGGUUCAAAGUUUGUGCACAGCUGCGGAGAUCAGAUGACUGUCAGCUGGGCCUGCCCCCUGCUGCCUCUGCUCGAUUGCAGGAGGAACUCUGACCUUGAUUUAGUCACCAAAACACCCAUCUGGAAAGCUCUUUGAAGAUUGAUUAAGUAAACACUCACAGCACAGAUAAUCAUAAUUGAGUGACGUAGCUGAAUUAUCUGCAGUGCAUGGAAGAAUGCACUGAUGAGAAAGCUCAGGGGCAUGUUCCCUCUCUGUUCCUCUAAUUUGGCUUCCUUACUUAGGGGUACAGUUUCGGGCACCGGGAGUGUUUUGAGGGGAUGGCGUGGAGGAUGUGGAAACUUUCACUCUCAUUUGGCAGGGUGACACUAUCGCAGGCAUAGAACACCACCCGUCACCGCACUGCAGCUGGUGUGGCCUGUGGCAGGUAGCACUGUCCGCACAGCUGACCUGAGAUGCUGCCUGUAGGGGGUUUCAGUUCUGCUUUGUGACUGUGGGCUGCUGUGAGCCCACUUUGGGAAAGGGCUCACAGAUGGAGAAGGCCUGGAUUUCAUCUGGGAGUGCCUCACCUCUCUGCACGGUGGUUCUGCUCUAGGCAAGAGCUGGUGGGCUUCUGUGGGCAUGAAGCAGUGGCCACGCUACUUCCCUAAUGAUCUCUGCAGCUCCGUGGGAGAUAGAGAUGGGAAUAGGCUGUCAGCUCUGGACUCAGCUUCUGGACUUGGUAUGCCUGGAAUUUGUUGAGUCCUCUGGAUUCGGGGAGCAGUUUUGAUGUUCAUUCAAUUCAUUCAUGAUUGAUACAUCCACCUAUUCACUCACUCACCGGGGCUAUCAUUUCAUCAUUCAGUCACGUUGAGAUGAUGUCUCUCCCACCUUUUCUCUCUCCUGCCUGGCACAGUGCCAAGCUUCUGCCAGGGCUCUGCACAUUUGUUGACAUCUCUUCCUGCUCUGCCUUUGUUAUGGUUGAAUAUCUAACCCCCAGGACCUCAGAAUGUGACCUUAUUUGGUGAUAAGGUACUUAUUUAUUUAUUUACUUAAUUUUUGAUACAGAGCCUCGCUCUGUCACCCAGGCUGGAGUGCAGUGGCGCAGUCUCAGCUUACUGCAACCUCUGUCUCCCGGGUUCAAGCAUUCAAGUGAUUCUCUUGCCUCAGCCUCCCAAGUAGCUGGGAUUACAGGCGCAUACCACCACGCCGGGCUAAUUUUUGUACUUUUAGUACAGACUGAGUUUCAUCAUGUUGGUCAGGCUGGUCUCGAACUCCUGACCUCAGGUGAUCACUUCAGUGAUCCCAAACUGCUGGAAUUAUAGGUGUGAGCCACUGUGCCUGGCCAAGUGUAAGGGUCUUUAAAGAGGUGAUUAAGUCAGAAUGAGGUCACGAGGAUGGGCCCUAAUCCAAUAUGACUGGUGUUCUUCUAAGAAGAGGAGAUGAGGACAUAGACACACACAGAGGGAAGCCCAUCUGAGGACAUGGGGUGAAGAUGGCCAUUUCCAAGCCAAAGAGAGGCCUCAGAAGACACCAACCCCGCCGGCACCUACACCUCAGACUUCCAGCCUCCAGACAGUGAAGAAAUAAAGUUCUGUUGUUUAAGCCAGUCUGUGGUACUUUGUUAUGACAGCCCGGGAAAAUGAAUACAGCCUCUCAACACGUUCACUGAGCAUAUAGCCAUCUGCAAGUUAUUCUAGACGAUCUACAGACAAAAGUAGAGAAGUACAGGAAAAGAGGAACAGGAACAAGCUCAUCUUUUCUUCUUCAUUUUCUCCUCCCAAACCCUCCCUACUCAGCCUCUCCUUACCUCUACCCUCAGCAGAAAGCAGAAACUUAGGGGGAAAUGAAACAGAGGGCUCUCCAGCAGAUGCCACCCUACGGAAGCUCUGGAAUAGAAUGGAGACCCUUCAAUAUAGAAUCAGAAGCAUCACUUUCUUUUGGCUGUCCCCCACUCUCCAAGUUUGUUUUUAGCUCACGUGUAUACACACUCAUGGCCACAACACACACACGGCCUGACAAAGCAGCCACAUGUGUGCAUCUCAGAAAGACUGGGAACAGGGACCCCAGCUGUUGUUGACACGCUGUGACUGUGUGGCUGGCAGUGUGUUUGCCAGUGUUUGCCAGUCCCAGCUUUAUGGGGCAUGGUGGCUGGAAAAGGCUGCAAUAAAAUGAUUCUCUGGGGCACGAAUUAUGUCACUUUUUGCCCUUUGUGUGUAAAAAUGAUGGCAAUGUUGUGUUUCCACGCAAUUGCUACAGGACUGUCCUUUGAUUUAUGGCCCUGGAGGAUGGCUGUGUGCUCUGAUCUCUUUAUCUGCAAGAAUCACCAGCUCAUUUCAUUGUGGAUCAUCUUGGGAUCUCUGGAAACACCUCCCAGUCUUCAAACCUGCUGUGCCUAUUAACAAGCCAGGCCUGUUUAAAACAGGCUCAGUAUGGAAGACUCAAUAUUCCUCGUUCUUCUACAGUAUCUACCAUUUUGGAUCAAAGACAUUUUUCACCACACAACGCAAUAAUAAUCCUGUCCCAUUGGUCCUUUUGCAAUCCUGGCUUAGUUCACUGAUUUUAAAGGAAAUUGGGAUUCCAGGAGCUCAGUGUUGACCAACGGGUCCCAUGUUGCCUAGUACUGGGUCCCCAGAGGACUUUGGCCAAGAUGUGACUGCCAAUGUGGCUGUAAUCAGCUUCUUUGUGCAUGCUGCGGAGUGAAAUUUGCACGUCACAGUCACUCUUCCCUCAUAUUGAUAGUGGUGUUUCUGAAGUCUCGUGGCAUUUCUUCAUUUAACGUUGAUGUUAAAACAAGCUUCCCUUUCUUUUCUAUGUCUAUUCCAGUGAUGUUCUGAGGGCCAGCCCAGCAAGAGUGUCCCAAAGCCCGGGUAUGCUCAACUUCUCCUGCCUCACUUCCUCCUGCAGUGCCUUCCUUUCCUGGCUUCCAUUUCUGCCCCUCGACCCUGCCUUCUUUCUCUUGCUCCCUGCUUAUUCCCAAGCAGAAUCCUCUUAUUUGAUGGGACCUAGCGUAUGCCCUACUCCUGAGGUUAGCUGCGUUUUAGAUGAGUGUCUCCUGAAUAUCCUAAGCUUUCAAAAUCCAAAGAAAUUAUCUCCCAAUGCUUGAACGGAGCCAAGGUUUUCUACCUGGACUGGUUGGGCAGACAGGUCUACUCUGCUUACUUACAUAACCAGGUAAGGUGAUCUGCUGGGUUCUAAGUGGCACCCCUUCCUCGGUGUGUGUCUGUCUGCAUGUUUGGCUGAUGCGCAGACGCCUUCUCAGGUAGGUCUGGGGUGAUGCAGGCUCCUAUCACUCAAGGGUAUGAAUCUCUCUGCAAGUGGAGACUGAUGUGGGCUCUUGGUGCCAUCUCACUGCCACCUUCCCUUAGCCCCAGAGCUAUAUUUACUAGCUAGCCAAUAAAAACAAACAAAUACUACAGCUCUACAUGCGUUCAAACCCUUGCUCUCCUCUACGCUUUCAUUUCAUAAAUGUUGGUACAUCCAGAGAACUGAACUGAGCCCACAGCCAUGUACGAGCUUUUCAGUGACCUGAUCACUUCCAAUCUGCUCCAGCCAAUGAGGAUUCAGGGCAGUGACCCUUAGAUAAAAGGCUUCAUUUGGCAUGAGUCAUCCGUGGAGACAUCCAGCCCACUUGCUCUGUGUUAAGUGCCUGGUUCCUGUAAAUAUUGACAGUUAGAAACCAUCCCAAGAGCUACCAUGCAGUGAUCUGGAAGGUAAUGUACACGAACAUGACCACUGAUGAGGCAAUGCUCAUUAUUUGCUAAGAUUCAGCCACUGAUAAAUAUCACCCCAUUAUCUCUCUUCCCAAUAGCGGCUCAUUUACUUGUGUGUGACUCAUAGUUGGUGUUUUAUGGGGUCUGAUUCAGCAAGGAAAGUUUGCUGCAACAAAGAAUGACAUCCAAGGCCACUUCAACUUCUAGAAUACUGGCUUCUCAACAAGAGUGGCCUGGAAAAGCUAAAGGGGGAGUCUUCAUCAUCAAGGAACUAAAGGGGGUAUGGAGGGAUAUAGAGCAAAAGAGUGUUUGUCACCAGUCAAAGCCGAUGUGUUAAAACCCACUUAUCCCCAUAGGCACACUUCCAUUACAGUUUAUCUACGGAUGCCAGUGACCUGCAAGAGGCUCCUUCUCCUUGUUCAAGUCACUUUGGGCUUGUUAGCUCUAUCUCAAAGAAGGGGCAAGGAUAAAUCUCUACCCAUGCAGAAGCUGAUUUUACCUUUUGCUCUUCCUUUCUGACUGCUUAAAAUAAAUGUAUCAUUACCU
Pongo pygmaeus (Bornean orangutan) is the source of this 5714-nucleotide long non-coding RNA. RefSeq lists it as uncharacterized. The transcript is spliced from 2 exons. Lineage: Eukaryota; Metazoa; Chordata; Mammalia; Primates; Hominidae. The record is from RefSeq and is a predicted model, not a curated record.